RNAcentral lists this ribosomal RNA (253 nucleotides) under uncultured bacterium. RNAcentral describes it as "partial 16S ribosomal RNA". It matches the Rfam family "Bacterial small subunit ribosomal RNA", at positions 524 to 776 of the family's 1533-position model. The record is from RNAcentral.
UACGGAGGGUGCAAGCGUUAUCCGGAUUUACUGGGUUUAAAGGGUGUGUAGGCGGAUUUUUAAGUCAGUGGUGAAAUCUCCGGGCUUAACCCGGAAACUGCCAUUGAUACUAUUUGUCUUGAAUACUGUGGAGGUCAGCGGAAUAUGUCAUGUAGCGGUGAAAUGCUUAGAUAUGACAUAGAACACCAAUUGCGAAGGCAGCUGGCUACACAAAUAUUGACACUGAGGCACGAAAGCGUGGGGAUCAAACAGG